This 305-nucleotide ribosomal RNA is filed under the name uncultured bacterium. Its description in RNAcentral is "bacterial SSU rRNA". It matches the Rfam family "Bacterial small subunit ribosomal RNA", at positions 333 to 638 of the family's 1533-position model. The record is from RNAcentral.
AGAUGCCUACGGGGCGCAGCAGUGGGGAAUAUUGCACAAUGGGGGAAACCCUGAUGCAGCGACGCCGCGUGAGUGAAGGAGUAUUUCGGUACGUAAAGCUCUAUCAGCAGGGAAGAAAUAAAGUCCUUUGGACUUUGGACGGUACCUGACUAAGAAGCCCCGGCUAACUACGUGCCAGCAGCCGCGGUAAUACGUAGGGGGCAAGCGUUAUCCGGAUUUACUGGGUGUAAAGGGAGCGUAGACGGCAGCGCAAGUCUGGCGGGAAAUCCCAUGGCUUAACCAUGGAACUGCUUUGGAAACUGUGU